Molecule: ribosomal RNA, 502 nt
Filed under: uncultured bacterium
Lineage: Bacteria
Description: bacterial SSU rRNA
Rfam family: Bacterial small subunit ribosomal RNA
Source: RNAcentral
UGAACGCUGGCGGCGUGCUUAACACAUGCAAGUCGCACGAGAACUCUUCUGCUUGCAGAAGAUAGUAAAGUGGCGCACGGGUGAGUAACGCGUGGGUAAUCUACCUCCGAAUUGGGGAUAACCCGCCGAAAGGCGAGCUAAUACCGGAUAAUAUCCUUAAAACAUCCGUUUUUUGGAUCAAAGGUGGCCUCUACAUGUAAGCUACUGUUUGGAGAUGAGCCCGCGUACCAUUAGCUUGUUGGUAGGGUAAUGGCCUACCAAGGCUUCGAUGGUUAGCUGGUCUGAGAGGAUGAUCAGCCACACUGGAACUGACACACGGUCCAGACUCCUACGGGGGGCAGCAGUGAGGAAUUUUGCGCAAUGGGGGAAACCCUGACGCAGCAACGCCGCGUGAGUGAUGAAGGCCCUCGGGUCGUACAGCUCUGUCGAGUGGGAAGAACUUGUUGGAUGCUAAUACCAUCCUUCACUGACGGUACCACUAAAGGAAGCACCGGCUAACUCC